UGUCGUUUCGUUUCGUUUCGCUGGUUUCAUGACAUAAAAUUAAAAAUACCUGUCUUUUUAAUGAGGGUUGCGUAAGAAUAAGCUUCUGAACGUUUCUAUGAGUUUAAACGUGUCUUGGAUUCGCGGUUCCAAUGCUCUGACUCUGCUGAGAGAACGUCUAGCCCCUAAACUCGUGGAACACAAACAGAAGCUGACCAGAUCUUCAUGUGCUGUUUUCAUACCAGUGUGCCACAGGGAAGAUAAACUAAGUUUGCUUUACACCAAGCGAACCGAAACUCUUAACUCCCACACCGGUCAAAUCAGUUUUCCAGGAGGACGAUGUGACGAUGGAGAGACAGCACGUGAGACCAGUAUUAGGGAGAUGUAUGAAGAAAUAGGGACUCCUCUCCUCGCAAAUUUGGGGCAAUCUUUCUCGUCCUGUGGUCAGCCUCAAGAUGGAGAACGUAUAUGCUUGCCUCGGCUACAUCGGACAUUUUGAGGACUUGCAAAUCAAGCCAUGCCCCGACGAGGUAUCACACGUGUUCACAGUACCAAUAGAAGAGUUAGUACACCACGUGCCAGAGAAAA
This is a long non-coding RNA of Bolinopsis microptera, 567 nucleotides long. RefSeq lists it as uncharacterized. NCBI's taxonomy places the organism in Eukaryota, Metazoa, Ctenophora, Tentaculata, Lobata, Bolinopsidae. The transcript is spliced from 4 exons. The record is from RefSeq and is a predicted model, not a curated record.